CCUAUCCUGCGCUCGUUCGUGUUUGCUGCGGUGACACGGUACAGCAGUGAGUGAAAUUUUACUUCAUAAUCACGUAGUCAUAGUGGAUGUGGAGUGGGGAAAGGGAAGUGAGGAAGUGAGAAUAUUAUAUGACAGAUUAUUUGAUAACAUGUCACCUUUAGUGAGUGUUAGUGUGUGUAAUAGUGAGUGUGGUUGAAGGAGCAGUGAUACGUGGCGCUGGGGAGGGAGAGCGGGUGGCUGGCUGGCUGGCUACAUUGUUUUGGUCAACACUGGUCAGUCUUGCCCCACACGCUGUUUUAACCAGUGUUUCCGGAUUCCCGGCAGCUUUUCCCUGUACCGAGCACCGCCAAGCAGCACCAGAGAGGCAGGAAUACGUAAGCAUGAUGAGAUGGAGGUUUUAACUCCACCACCACCACCACCACUACUGUGACUUACACCAGCACCGUAGCCACUUUCACCACCACUAUCACCUCUUCAACAGCACUUGAACCAUCUCCGCCACCAGCACCACAGCCACUUCCUCUACCACCACCACCACCACCACCACCACCACCACCAAGAACACGUGCUCCACCACACUUUCACAGCCACGUGAUCCUGUUGUGGCACCUUUCAGUCAAUCAGCCAAUUAGUUAUUGUACUUUCAAUCCAUUAAUGAGUCAAUGUUUCAGUGUGUAACUCAAUGACAGUAAUAUGUCAGAAAGCAUUAAGAUGUGUGUAUGUUUAGUGGUUAUUGUUCAUCUAACUCUUGGUAAGUUCCUCAUUGUUUCUUCUCUUGUCAUUCAUUGUACUUUCACUUUGCAUUGCCACACUUAAAAAUCAAUAUUUGAGAAAUGUAAUUUAUAACAUUAAACUACCCAAGUUGUCUGGUUAAGGUUUGGUUAACAAAAACUCUUUUAUAUUUCUGGACAGUCAUGUGUCAAUGCAUUGUUGAAAAUACUUUUCAGCAUCCCAUUGUAGGUGAAAAGCAGUGAAAAGAGGCAGUGUGAGGAGACUGAGAAACCCUUCCCUUUUUUCUUUAUUCCCUAGAUGAGACAAGAUGUAAUAUCUUGUCUGGGUCAACUCUUAAGGGAGAUCUUAGCCUGGUAUAUAGAUAGUUAAAUAUAACUGCCAUGUGACAGUGGCCAUAUAACAUUAAAAAUACCUACUAAUGUGCACAGAAUGGCUUUAGAGUAGCAUCCUACUGUAUAUUGAUAAACUAUAUACAAUAAAAUAAUCCCCAAUGUUGUUUACAAUUAAGUGAACAGGAAUGUUGGAAAUACUUAAUGACGUGCAUAGAAUGGGAUUAAAUUGAUGUACUACUGUAUAUUGAUGGACGAGAUUAAGUUCAAAAUAGAGUCCCCAAUAUUGUUUGCUAUUAAGUAGGCAGAGCAGUGCAGUAUAUGUAUGAUAACUGGCCUUUUCU
Long non-coding RNA from Scylla paramamosain (green mud crab), 1405 nucleotides. RefSeq lists it as uncharacterized. The transcript is spliced from 2 exons. The record is from RefSeq and is a predicted model, not a curated record. Lineage: Eukaryota; Metazoa; Arthropoda; Malacostraca; Decapoda; Portunidae.